This 584-nucleotide ribosomal RNA is filed under the name Aureobasidium sp. 35L-3-5A. RNAcentral describes it as "eukaryotic LSU rRNA". It matches the Rfam family "Eukaryotic large subunit ribosomal RNA", at positions 1 to 632 of the family's 3401-position model. The record is from RNAcentral. Lineage: Eukaryota; Fungi; Ascomycota; Dothideomycetes; Dothideales; Saccotheciaceae.
UUUUCCUAUUUUCAAAUACGGAGGAAAAGAAACCAACAGGGAUUGCCCUAGUAACGGCGAGUGAAGCGGCAACAGCUCAAAUUUGAAAGCUGGCCUUCGGGUCCGCAUUGUAAUUUGUAGAGGAUGCUUUGGGUGAAACGCCAGUCUAAGUUCCUUGGAACAGGACGUCAUAGAGGGUGAGAAUCCCGUAUGUGACUGGAAAUGUUAACCUAUGUAAAGCUCCUUCGACGAGUCGAGUUGUUUGGGAAUGCAGCUCUAAAUGGGAGGUAAAUUUCUUCUAAAGCUAAAUAUUGGCGAGAGACCGAUAGCGCACAAGUAGAGUGAUCGAAAGAUGAAAAGCACUUUGGAAAGAGAGUUAAAAAGCACGUGAAAUUGUUGAAAGGGAAGCGCUUGCAAUCAGACUUGUUUAAACUGUUCGGCCGGUCUUCUGACCGGUUUACUCAGUUUGGACAGGCCAGCAUCAGUUUCGGCGGCCGGAUAAAGGCUCUGGGAAUGUGGCCUUCACUUCGGUGAAGGUGUUAUAGCCCAGGGUGUAAUACGGCCAGCCGGGACUGAGGUCCGCGCUUCGGCUAGGAUGCGGCGUA